AGAUUGAACGCUGGCGGCAUGCCUUACACAUGCAAGUCGAACGGCAGCACGGGAGCAAUCCUGGUGGCGAGUGGCGAACGGGUGAGUAAUAUAUCGGAACGUGCCCAGUCGUGGGGGAUAACGUAGAGAAAUUUACGCUAAUACCGCAUACGAUCCAAGGAUGAAAGCGGGGGACCGUAAGGCCUCGCGCGACUGGAGCGGCUGAUAUCAGAUUAGCUUGUUGGUGAGGUAAAAGCUCACCAAGGCGACGAUCUGUAGCUGGUUUGAGAGAACGACCAGCCACACUGGGACUGAGACACGGCCCAGACUCCUACGGGAGGCAGCAGUGGGAAUUUUGGACAAUGGGCGAAAGCCUGAUCCAGCAAUGCCGCGUGCAGGGAAGAAGGCCUUCGGUUGUAAACUGUCUUUUGUACGGUAGACGGAAAAGGUCUAGGCCCUAAGUACCGGACGGACCCAGUCGAACCGGUUACCGUAAGGAAACUAAGACACCGG
This 492-nucleotide ribosomal RNA is filed under the name uncultured soil bacterium. RNAcentral describes it as "bacterial SSU rRNA". It matches the Rfam family "Bacterial small subunit ribosomal RNA", at positions 26 to 529 of the family's 1533-position model. The record is from RNAcentral.